RNAcentral lists this long non-coding RNA (35230 nucleotides) under Hordeum vulgare. Its description in RNAcentral is "long non-coding RNA (HVUL_LNC002287)". The record is from RNAcentral. Lineage: Eukaryota; Viridiplantae; Streptophyta; Magnoliopsida; Poales; Poaceae.
CCAAGACCAGCUAGGUGUGUUCACCAGCAAACAUUUUUUUUAAUACAAUACAGAUGCAAAUGUUCAUAUACACGCGCAUACACUCAUUUCUAUAAACGCACGUGCACACCCAACCCUUGUGGACACAUUCGAGGGACUGAGCCGCUAGAAAUCCUGAAAUAAAUCUAUAAAUAAUGCAAGCACCAUGACUUGAACACGAUGAUACACAGUUCCUCUAACCAUCUUACCCUAGGUCGGUUCACCAUUAGCAAAUAACCUUAAAAGCGCAUGAAGUACAGACCAGUCGUAUUUCACCAUUCUAGGCGACCGUUUUCCACUGGGUUUCAGAACAUAUGUCUCAAUAUAUCAUCAAACAAAACAUACAUCUUCUGUAAAUAAGUCGACCGCCAAGCAAAUUACAGUGAUAUUUUGCAAGAGAAUGGUAAUCUAGUCACCGUCCCAUGUAUCUUUUUUAUCUGAGCUCCUCACACAAAAAAAAUCUAGUCGUGUGAAUUUGGGAUUCAUAUGUCCAGUGUUUCUUCUUUGAAAGGAUCUAAAUAGACAAGUGCAUUUUACUUUCAUCCGGGUAUUACUCAUGUCAAGAGACUGUCAAGACAAUUAGCAAAACAAUUGUGUUGUUGUAUUGCAAGAAAUCUACUGUAAAAAAGAAAGAAUGUGAGAAAAAAUUAGCACAAAAAUUGUUUGGUGCCCUCGUCCUCACAUUAUUCAGAAAAUUAGCAAAACAAUUGGGUGAUUGCAUUGCAAGAAAUGUACUGUAAAAAAGAAAGAUCGUGAGAAAAAAUAACAAAAUAAUUGUUUGGUGGCCUCGGCUUCACAUUAUUCAGACAAUUAGCAAAACAAUUGUGAGGUUGCAUUGCGAAAAAUCUACUGUAAAAAAGAUGAAUUGUUUGGUGGCCUCGGCUUCACAUUAUUCAGACAAUUAGCAAAACAAUUGUGCGGUUGCAUCGCGAAAAAUCUAUUGUAAAAAAGAUGAAUUGUUUGGUGGCCUCGGCUUCACAUUAUUUAGACACUGCAUUGCAAGAAAUCUACUGUAAAAAGCAAAACAUAAUUACUGUAAAAAAGAUGAAUUGUUUGGUGGCCUCGGCUUCACAUUAUUUAGACACUGCAUUGCAAGAAAUCUACUGUAAAAAACAAAACAUAAUUGUGUGGCUGCUGGGAUUCGAGCCCAGGUCUCCACGGCCACAACGUGGAAUUCUCACCACUAAACUACAGCCACAAUCGUGUCCAAUUUGAGCUUCCAAGGUUGAAGGAUCAAAAUAUCUUGUUCGACACCUUCUACACACUUCUCUUUUUGAGAACUAUACACUUUUUUUUGACAGGAAUCUUCUCUACACAUUAUCUUCUGUUGACAUAAGUCACAGUGUGUGUCACUAUAGGCCGGUAGACAAGCCAACAUGUUGAGGCAGUUUUCGCAAAAUAAAUAAUAAUAACAAUUGAGGCGGUAACAACUGCUUAAUGUGCUCAAACAGUUAGACCAGACCAUGUGACACAUGAGGUAAGCAAUCUAAACAAUUCAAAAAGAAAUUCAAACAGUUAGACCAGGGACAAUAAAUAUUUUGCUAUGAACAUAUUUUUUUCACGAGUGCUAUGAACAUUUUUUGAACUGCGAAUAUCAGCAUUUGUCCUUUUUUGCUUCAAAUUCAGACUUGUAAUGUUGUGCUGCCCUAGAUACACCUUAUAUAUCGCUCGAUUGCACGUAAUUGCAUGGCACUUACUCCCACCACACAGCCGGCCAUCAUUUACUAAAACAACACCUAUGGUUGGCUUCGCUAAUUUCCAUAGCUGACGGUCUCGAUCUGGGCUACAAUAUUAAUUAAAUGUACUCUAAUAAAUAAUUUGUUCUUUACAAGUUGUCUUCGUCUUGAAAAUGAAACCUUAUUUUUUAUAUUUCAUCAUCCAUACUAAUUUUUUUUAGCAAAAUAACUAGUUGCUACCCCAAUCCCAUAAUAGUAACACACCUGAAACAGAUAAACUAGUCACUAACAUCCCUGAUAUUAUGUCUAAGAAAUACAUAUAUAAGUAUAUAAGCUUAUUUAACACUAAUUGUAACAACUUCAGUGUCAAGAAUAUAAAUACCAAUAUCUGAUUUCAGACAUACAUAUAUGUUAGUACUAUGCACAGAUAAACAUAUACUAUGUAAAUAACUAAUUUCAGAUAACAUGUUCAAAUGAACACACACACACACACACACACACACACACACACACACACACACACACACACACACACACACACACAUAUAUAUAUAUAUAUNNNNNNNNNNNNNNNNNNNNNNNNNNNUAUAUAUAUAUAUAUAUACAUACUUAUAUAUAUAUAUAUAUAGAAAUUCUAUUCAUCACCCAGGGUGUAGAAUAGUUUAUUCUUCACCCGAGAUAAUCUUACGAUCAAUUUACAAAUAAAUUACAUUUGGAAUACAAAUAAUUAAAUUUAUAUUGAACCAUUAUGUAAUAUUUGACAAAAUAAAAACAAAAAUAUAGGUCACAAGACCAGAAAAAAAUGAAUUUAUUGUAUUUUUUGCACUAUUGUUGUAUGUUCGUAAUUUUACGUGACAUAAAAUAUUUUUACGUUGAUUAUAUUUUCUUACGGUCUCUUUUUAUGUAUAAAAUAAGAAAAAAAAUAUGAAAUAUAAAAUUACGGUGCAUUAAUGUUAAAAUAGAGGGGGUGAAGAAUAACUAUUCCUCACCCAGGGUGACAAAUAGCGCAACCCUUAAUUUGACUAAUCCCCAAUUUGAAAAUACUAACACUGAACCAAUGCCCAAUUUUAAAGAACAUACUCAUCCUAGUUUCAGAUAAUUGUACAUAGAUGACAUGUUCAUCUAAUUUCCCCCCUAAUUUUUCUCAAACCCUAAAUCUCUAUUUAUCCUAGAACCCUAAAAUCAAAAUGAAAAAUAAUAGAGAGGAAAGAGAGGAGUUAGACAUACAUGACACCGCGGAGUGGGGAAGCCCAGUUGUGGUCGUCGGUCGGAUCAGCCACAAUCACUGUGGCAAAAGACGUCGCCGCACGAUAUGUCGGGGACGACUAGGGCGGUUGCAUGGAAAAGCUCAUGUUUUGGAGUUAGUGGUCGACCUCACAGUAGUCGUCGCCUUCGCCACCAAUCCCUCCACCACCUACCAAGUAAUUGUUGUGGAUGGGCUUUGCCGCCGCCAUUACCGACCUUAGGUCAGAGCGAGCGCAGGAGAGAGCUAGCUGGUGUGAGAGAGUGACUGACUAGCACCAAUAGAGAGAAGAGGUUCCUACGAGACCAAGUAGGAUGACGACUGUUACCCCCUUCCGUCUAUCCCGUGGCCUUGGCGGGUGGGCCAGACAUGUCAUAAAACGGUUAAUUUUAACCCAACCUGUCAUAAGUGGCUUUUGCCAAUUUUUAAGACAAAAGUGGUAGGCAUCAGUAAAGAAAAGAACGGUGUUUUUAAACCAUAACGCCAAUUGUGAUUUUUUUUGCUAUUACUUAUCACAAAAGCAUUUGCUGCUUUUUUAAAUAGAUUUGUGAUAAUCGAUUCAGUCUUGGAUAUGAGAGUUGACAUGCAUAGAAACAUGAAGUGUAGAUAUAACCAAUAAAUGUACAGACAAGAGACGGUCACAAGAGGAAAUCGAAACCCAUGAUCUUUCGGCGAUUCUGAGUGUUGGUAGAUCCUAGAUUAUAUUAUGGCUGCGCAAGAACAUCUAGUAUAUUACACUUACAUAUAGUUAGUGGUGACUUCCGCUUGCUAAUUACCGUGUAGAAUCUUAGGGUUGGUUUUGUAGCAAAUCCUUUACUAAUCCCACCAUGCUUGACUCCAUCCAUCUUGCACCGUUUAAACAUAUGCCAUGGCUUAAUUUCCAAGGUACAUCUCAACAUAACAUCAAAUAGGCUGAUCACCAAGCAAACUAAGGUCAUAUUUUGCGUGAAAAUAAUAUGGAUCCAUCAGUGUUCAAUGUUUUUCCCUUGUGCAAAGGUUCUAAUUAGACAAGUGCAUUUUACUAUGUCCUCAGAGGUUUUUCAUAUAUAAUUUUUCAUUCGGGUAUUAUACUCAUGUCAGGAGAUUAUUGACAACUGGAAGGGCAAGAAAAAUAAAUGCUAACUAGACAUGUUCUAUUGUGGCCAUUUGGGCAACAUGUCUCUUUAGCCUUUUCAAUGAUCUUAAAGGCUCCAAAUCUCUAAUAAGCUCGUCACCGUGCCUGAGUAAUUGAUAGGAAUUUGUCGCACAAUUCACUCUUCUUUUUGAAAAAUACUCUUGUUAUAAUUUAUACUUGUCAUAGAAACUUGCUCAAAGCAGGUUAAAAUCCAUUUCAGAUUAAUAACAAUUGACAUGAUUUUUUGAAUGAAAAAGAAUAAUCUAAUCAUCUGGCAGCAGCAAUCACAUGCAACAACUAGAAUGCAAGAAAUGUACUGUGGAAAAGAAAACUGUGAGAAAAAAACUAGCAAAAUAAAAUUAUGUGGCUGCUGGGAUUCGAGCCCAGGUCUCCACGGCCACAACGUGGAAUUCUCACCACUAAACUACAGCCACAAUCGUGUCCAAUUUGAGCUGGCAAAUUUCAAGUAUGCAAAAAUCUAUCCUUCAAGGUGUACACACGUUCUUCUGUUGCGAUGUGACGUUGGCAUUUAGACCAAAAAUGCUAAAACCUAGAGAAAUAAAAACAAACUUAACCACAUUCUCAAUACAUGUAAAUGAACCAAAGCAUGACUGCAUGCCGCCAUGCUUGGCUCCUGCCAGCUCUUCAACUUUAUAUUCAGCUUCUUUUAAAUUUCAUACCACUGCACCUUUAUUCCCAGCUUAUUCUCUUACUCUGUUUUGGUUGACGCCUUGAGCUUCAGCCUACAAAGGGGGAAAUGAAGUAAGAUAUGUGGCCUAUCUAGUUCAAAAUCGAAAUGAUCAUAAAUGCUACAUUAAUCCAUUCACGUACACACACAAAUUGUAUGACUGUUCCUGUAAAAAAACAUCAAGUGUCAGCUUACUGUGGCGGUGAGGCCUGAUGGAUAAGUCUCUAUACUAAGGUCUUUGUAGGGCUGCAACACAUGGUCCCUGUGUUCUUAUGACUAUUAGGAUAGCAUCCUUGACAACUAAGGACUAGCAUUUUAGCAGCAUCUUAGACUAGCAUCUUAGCAUAUGCUUAGCUGGCUAGCAACCUAUAAAUAUGUAUCCCCAACCCCUCAGGUUGGCAUGGCAUUGUGUGAGAAAUAAACCAACGAAAAAUGUUCCAACUCUUCCAAUGUCAUUCAUCACUAUCAAUGCUCAGGCUGAAACGACUAACAAGGCCUAGAUUAUAUCCAUCAUUUGACUAUACGUAUGAUAUUAAAAAUAAGGGCAUAUUCAGGGACUAUUUCUAACCAUAAGAAUAUAAUUUUGUCAAUACAUGAUAUAUUUACCUUAUAUGCAUGGGAACAAAGGUUUUCACCUAAGCAUCUGGUUCUUGCAUAAUUCCGUCAGCCUUAGAUGUCUAACAUUUGAUAGAGGAACACCCUCUACCACCUAGAGGUAAAAGUAGUUAAAUAAAAAUCCUAAUGCAUUGCAAAAUUCUGAAGAAAGCAAAGUCUAGCCUUUACGUUGACCUCCACGCCAAUGUCAAGUAACAGCAACGCUUCUAUCUCCAAGUUGAGUUGGGAACUGAAAGCCCAGGCUAAUCAAAGUUCUGAAGCAAGCUGGCAAAGCAACAAAAGUUAAGAGGAACUUUGAUUAGCCAACAGAAGGUAUGUGUAACCAUCUUUCCACGCCAACAUUAAGACGAUAACUGCGGCCAAAUUAUAGACAGAUUUAACAUACUGCACAGUCACUGAUAACUAAUCAUCCUGCAAGAGCAAUCACAUGCAAUGAGUCCAGCUAGAUUGCGAGAAAUGUACUGUUAAAAAGAAAGAACUAGAGGGAAAAAAAUGACUAGAGCAAUUAGUACAGCUAGAUUGUGAGAAAUGUACUGUUAAAAAGAAAGAACAAGAGGGAAAAAACAUAAUUGUGUGGCUGCUGGGAUUCGAGCCCAGGUCUCCACGGCCACAACGUGGAAUUCUCACCACUAAACUACAGCCACAAUCGUGUUCAACUUCAGAUGGAAACCUACAAGGAUAUAGAUAUCUCCUUCGAGACCUUCUCUGCUCACACACUCACACUACCGGAUGAGAAGCCCAUAUACUAUGAUGUUGGCAUGUAGAUCAAAAAAUGCUAAAACCUACAGAACGAGUGUUUCCUGCAAAUAAACUAAACCGCUAUCUUAAUACCACCGGUAAACAAACUAGAGCAUGACACAAGUCACAAAAGAGUACGACUAGACGUAGCUGUCAAGCCGAGGACAUAUUGAGACGUCACUCUAGGUCGACAGACAAGCCAACAUAUUGAGGCGGUUUUCGCAAUAAAUAAAUAGAUAAAUAUUGAGGCGGUAACAAGAGCUUAAGGCGAUCAAAUCAAACAGUUGGAGCAGGAAAAUUGCAAAUUCUGCUUUGAACAAUAUUUGAACCGUGAAUGGCAGCAGCCUAUUUACACCAGCAUUUGUCCCCUUUGCUCCAAAUUCAGACUUGCAAUUUUCUUCUCUUAAAAUCGCCCGAUUGCACCUAAUUGCAUAGUCCCACCACACAGCCGGCCAGGAUGUACUAAAACAAUACCCUGACAUUGGCCUCGCUAAUUUGCGACCUGUGUGUCAUGUAGGCUGCUCAAAACUUGAUCUCAUCUCAUAUGCUUGGAUGGAUGUUAAAUACCAACUUCCUAAUACAAUAUAUUAAGGCCUUGGUACACUGCCACGCUGGUAAAUCUUGGUCAAUCUGACAGUCACAUCCCACUGCUUCAAUAGACUAUCUGGUCAUAUAUAGUCUUACCAAACCGCAAUGUAUAUGGGCGAAACGGAGGUGGUGCGGUGCAGAAUUACAGAUCAUGGGCUACCUGUGUCAGCAACGCAGCUCCAAGCAGGCACCUUCUGUACAUCCAUCACUGCCAUCGAGCGUCUAAUAUGCUCCACCUCACGCCAUCUAUCACCACUGCCUGCUUGGACAUUGCUAAACACCACAUGGUAGCCAACAUUAUCUGGUUCCAACUCCAUAAGUUUCUGAGUUGCAAAAGAUGCCAGCUCGACAUUCGAAUGUGUUCUGCAUGAUGCAAGGAGAGCACCCCAAAUUCUUCCAUCUGGCUUAACACUCAUGUCACUGAUCACUUGGACGGCUUCGUCUAGGUCACCCGAACGGCCGAGGAUGUCCACCAUGCAAGUGUAGUGGCCUAGCUCCGGCGUGAUGCCAAACUCCCUAGUCAUGCAAUCAAACAAUGCACGGGCUUCAGUAACAAGCCCUGAGUAACUACAGGCCAACAGCAAGCUCAGGAAGGUCACUCCGUUUGGCAUUACUCCUUCCGCAAGCAUUUGGUCAAACAAUGCCAGAGCUUCCCUGCCGUUCCCAUGAAUCGCGUACGCUUCAAUCAUUGAACUCCAUGCGACAAUGUCUCUCUGCUGGAUGUUGUUGAAGCACCGUCGUGCCAAACGGAUGUUCCCACAUCUAGAAUAGAAUUUAACAAUUGAUGUCUCCAAGUAACAGCUAUUCUCAUAUUGUGCACCACCAUGACUGUUUCGUAUGAUGUAUCCAUGAGCUGAUUUACCUAGCCGCGAAGCACCUAAUUCCAUGUAACUGAUGACUAGUCCUUGAAGCAUGUCGGCGUUGAUAGCUAGCUGAGAGUUCAACAUUCGCCCAAACAGAUGGACUACUUGUAAGAAGUGCCCAUGGUGGAUGAGACCCCACAUCAUGGCUGACCAUAUGCAGCUGUCUGUUCCCCUGAAUUCUUCAAACAACUUGGCAGAGGAUUCCAUUUCACAGCAUUUAGCAUAGAAAUCCAGAAAGGAUGCCACCAAGAUCGGAUCACUAAGCCCACUCCUAAUUACAAAACAAUGGAGCUUCUUUCCUUGCUCAAGACACCUGUGCUUGGCAAAUGCAGCAACCAGGGCAGUUAAGGUCUGGCAGGUUGGACGCACUUCCUCUCUUCUCAUCCUUUCAAACAUGUCAAUGACUUGACCAACGUCUCCCUGCGACGAAAACUCUGAGAUUAUAAUGUUCCAAGAAACCGCAUCUCUUCCUCCCGGCGAGAGCUCGAACAGCCUCACCGCAUCGUCCAAGCAAGUCGUCGCCCUGGCGAAGUGUGUCAAUAUUGAGUUGAGAACCAGUGGCUCUUCACUUAAACCGCUCUUCAUCGCAUAGCAGUGCAGCUGUCUCCCCCCGGGAACGUCCCUCUCGGCGGUACACCGACGAAGCAGCACCGCGAGCGUCACGGAGCUCGGCUCGCACCCGUCCAUCCGCAUCUUGGUCACCAAUCGGGAAACCUCUCGUCUGUCGCCUGUACCGACGAAGGCAGAGAUCAGCGACGUCCAGGAAACCACGUCCCUAACGGUCAUUUCGUCGAACAGCUGCCGCGCGGAGGCGACCGCGCCGUGCCUCACGUAGGCGUCGACGAGGGUGUUGCAGAAGUAGAGAUUGAGUGCGAACCCGGUCCGGACGCCCACCGAGUGGGCGGCCCCGACGAGGCCGUCGCGAGCAGCGAGCGAGGCCGCCGCGCGGUUGAGCAGCGGGAGCGUGAAGCCGUCCGGGCGGGCGCCGGCGCGGAGCAUGGCGGCGAAGGCGGAGACGGCCGCCGCGGGGAGGCCGGAGUCGAGGCGGUCUCUGAUGGCGGCGUUCCAUUGGGGAGCGGCGGAGGUGGCCGGAGGCGGUGAGCUGGGUAGGAGGAGGCCGCGCUGGCGCUGGGCUGCCGUAGGUAUCAGCAAGUUGGGUGUUGGACGAAAUGCGGAUGGAGGCAUCUUGAUAUGGGACAGGCCGGACUGCAACAGCUCGCCGGAAAGGAGCAGGUGCACCGUGCAGGGCUAGUCGUCCGCCGCGGCGGAGGGUGUCUGUGAAUUACUUUCAGGCCAACUUCACCGCGCGCACGCGGAAACAAACGGACUUUUGUCGGUUUGUGUUCGCUUUCGAUUUAUGCCGGGUCCAAUUUUGCGUCGAUUUUAGAUGAAAACGGACAGCAUGAAAACGGACAGCGCGCGGACAAGCAGGACGCGCGCUUGUCCGCCCCUGACCCGCCUGUCGGUGGCACGAACUAAAACCCACCCCCGCCCCCUUUGGCGCCAUUUCUCCCCAAACCCUCACACGUUCACCGUCCCCUUCUCUUUUCCCGUUCAUGGCCGACGUCCACCCGAAUCCGGCGGUCCGACCGUCGACCAGCCCGGAAUGGCCAAGAAGAAGAAGGCCAAGGCGCCAAGGAAGUCGCAGGCGGAGUGCACGCCGGAUGAGAUCGCCAAGUUAAACGCGGAAUCGACGAAGAGGAGGAACCGGAGGGGCGGUCGUGAAGGACAACGCCGCCACGCGCAAGUUCGCUGCCGAGCGCGAUGCGAUGAAGGCCGCGCGGCGAAAGACCGAGGUCGAGGAGAAGGAGGCCAUCGUCAACAAAGCGCACGCCCUCCUCAUGCUUGGCAUUUGUCGUCCGGCCGGUUUCUCUACAGCGACCGUCGGCCCGGCGAGCACAGGCUCGUCGGUCGCCCGGUCUCCGCACUGCCAGUCGCCGAUGUUGCGGACCAUGCUUGUGUCGCCCGACUCCCCCCCCGNNNNNNNNNNNNNNNNNNNNNNNNNNNNNNNNNNNNNNNNNNNNNNNNNNNNNNNNNNNNNNNNNNNNNNNNNNNNNNNNNNNNNNNNNNNNNNNNNNNNNNNNNNNNNNNNNNNNNNNNNNNNNNNNNNNNNNNNNNNNNNNNNNNNNNNNNNNNNNNNNNNNNNNNNNNNNNNNNNNNNNNNNNNNNNNNNNNNNNNNNNNNNNNNNNNNNNNNNNNNNNNNNNNNNNNNNNNNNNNNNNNNNNNNNNNNNNNNNNNNNNNNNNNNNNNNNNNNNNNNNNNNNNNNNNNNNNNNNNCCCCCCCCCCCCCCGCCAAGGCACAACGCCCACACCCGUUUCUCGGGGUCACCGGACGUGAGCGUGAUCGCGCCUUCCACCACACGCCCCUUGGCCUGCAUCGACCUCAACGUCACACCUGGGUCUAGCAGCGGCAGCCAGCCGUUCGUCGAGAUGCAAAGAAAGCAAGCACGCCCGCCGUUUACGAGCACCAUGCCAUCCCCCCGCGUCCUGUUCGACGAAAUGUUAACACCAAUGGCACCGGUCGACGACCCCCUGCACCCAGUUCAUGGAGGAUGUGAUCUACAACGGUGGGCAUGUCCCUGCCUAUGAUCCCGAGGAGACCCAAAGUCAGGAUGGUCGCGCCCAGUUCGUUGUCGAUGAAGAGGCCGACGACCGUGCUGACUACGACCAUGGUGACUCGUGGCAUGAAGACGAUGACAUCUAUUGCGAAGGUGAUGGUGAUGANNNNNNNNNNNNNNNNNNNNNNNNNNNNNNNNNNNNNNNNNNNNNNNNNNNNNNNNNNNNNNNNNNNNNNNNNNNNNNNNNNNNNNNNNNNNNNNNNNNNNNNNNNNNNNNNNNNNNNNNNNNNNNNNNNNNNNNNNNNNNNNNNNNNNNNNNNNNNNNNNNNNNNNNNNNNNNNNNNNNNNNNNNNNNNNNNNNNNNNNNNNNNNNNNNNNNNNNNNNNNNNNNNNNNNNNNNNNNNNNNNNNNNNNNNNNNNNNNNNNNNNNNNNNNNNNNNNNNNNNNNNNNNNNNNNNNNNNNNNNNNGAUGAAGGCAAUGACAUUGAUAUUAGUGGUGAGCCAUUGUUCAUCGACGAGCUCACCCAAAGAGCGGAAGCACAAAAUAGGAAGAAGAGCAUUUGCACGGGUUCAUACACCCAAGAUGAGGACAAGCUGAUUUGCAAUUGUUGGAUGGAGAUUGAAAGGAUCGAUAUGNCCUUUAUAUAGUGGGGGGAAAAUUCAGACCGUUUUCCCACUCUCUGCCCGAGUUCCAGCGGUACUACCGCUGAGCAGGAGCGGUACUACCGCUGCCUGGCGGUACUACCGCUGGAUGCAGCGGUACUACCGCUGGGUCUCCAGCGGUACUACCGCUGACACCAGCGGUACUACCGCUGGCCCCUUGGUAGUGCUCAAGCACUACUACCGCCGGGAAAGCCUUCGCAAAAGGGUCCAUCCACGAACUACCGCUAGGUAGGUGGAACAAAGCACCUGGGCGGUACUACCGCCAGCUAGCGGUACUACCGCUGGCUGCAGCGGUACUACCGCUAGUAGUCCAGCGGUACUACCGCCGGAGCCAGCGGUACUACCGCUGGGGACCAUUUCGCAGAGAUACUCAAAAUGAAUAGGCGAGGGCCGCUCCAAAAGAUAAGGAAAGGGAGAAUGUGAAGUGUGCGUGUGUAAAGAUAGAUUCCACCCAAACCUUUCCACUACGGAUCCCCUCUUAAUAGUACGGCUUUCCUAAGACUCAAAUAAAGAGAAUCGUAGAGAGCGUCGUGCUUCCGUUCCAGGAGAGAGGAGAUGAGUCGUCUUGUGCCGUUGACGUGUGUUAUCUGAAACCUUGACACACACGGUUAGUCCUGUACGGUACUGUCAUCAAUCACCAAAAUUACUUAGGCAUAAACUAUGCCCCAACAAUCUCCCCCUUUUUGGUGGAUUGAUGACAAUACCGGAUUUGCACAGAGAAUAAUAUGAGAACAAACAGAUAGAGAUAUAUGACAAUACGGGGCAUAUGACUCACAUCAUAUGAUGGAAAUAAAUCUCGCAUAAGAUCAUGUCUCACAAAAGAUGGCAAACGAGAAUCAAACCAUACGAAAUAAAGCAAAGCAAUGCAAAGUUCGAAAAUGAAAGCAAAUCCUAGACUCUCUCCCCCUUUGGCACAAGACACCAAAAAGGGGCACACCUAAUGCCACAAGUAACUACUCCUCGUCUUCAGGAUCACCAGACUUGUCUGUCCCCUCCUGGUCGGUCUGCUCCUCCUCUUCCACCUCAUCGCCAGACCACUGGUACCCCUGAGCCUGCAUCCAAGUGGCCUCAGGAGUGAUGUCGUCCUCUGAGCCGCUGGAGAUGUCCACAUCCAAGGUCCUGAGAACACGCUUAUGCCUCUGGCGGCUCUGCUUCUGAGCCACGUGUGUCUGGUACUAACCUUUGGCCUACAUAUAGAAAAGUGUCUUCAUCUUGUCCCGCAGUUUGAUAGCCCAAGACAACAUGGCAGACGAGCGGGACUGAGAUGCGGUUCCUCUGUCAGCAGCAGUCUCUGUAUCAGUAUCCAUGUGCUGAGAGGAUGUAGAUGGGUUGGCCCACUUGUCCUUGACGCGAAGCCUGAUCGGGUCAUGCACAAUGUAAUCAGACUGAGCGUAGAGCAGCUCCUCUGGAAAAGCCUCUUGCCACUUAUGGCUAAUGUAUGCGAACAGGUAAGGCCCGUAGAUAGGAACCUUACGGAUGAUGAUGCAGUUUCAGAGCUCUGUGAAUAUCACAUCAGAAAUAUCCAGUUGAGCAGACUCCUGAGACAUAGCCUCCUCACAAAGUAACAGCAUCUCAGCCAAGGAGCCAUGGACCUCAUCGAAGUUACCACUCCGAGGGAAGAGGGUGUUGCGAAAGAUCCGAUGCAUGAUGUCCAGGUGCUUGGGAAGCACCCCCUUCCUUAGAUACAGUGUCUGCAGUCUGUCCUUUGCGGGGGCCCUAUCGGUGGGGGCUGAAGCAUGAGGACGCAGCCCAAGAGGAGUGUCAGCACCCUGAAAGUCAAUGUGAAGGAACUGCAUGAACUCAGUCCAAGAACCGGUCAUCUUCUUUGACCCAGUCAUCCACACCAUGGAACGCUGUUCAUCAGGAGAGAAAUGGACUGUGACAUAAAACUGAGCAACUGCAGUGGGAUCAAAGUCCGUCUUGAAGGUGAUGAUGUCUUUGAUGCCCAGUUUGUCAACCAGAGAGAGGGCAUCACCAAAGUAGUCCAUGUUCCGCUGAAGAUGUGCCAGAUCAAUCCACUGAACAGAGACAUAGUUCUUCUUGAAAUGAGCAAUAACAUCCCGAUAGAUCCUGCACUGGUCCCUUGCCCAGACAUGGUCAACACCCUCGAUCACAUCCCUCUCCUUGAGAUAGUGGUUCUUGGUGCGAAAUUGCAGAAAGUCCUUGGGGGACAUUGUACGGAUAUUGACCCUCUUGUCCUUGUGAGCGACCUUCUUGAAGGACUUCUUCUUGGGAGGCAGACCAGAGGUGGCAGACCCCUCAGGCGCCUCUGGAUUGCAAUACUGUUUGGACUGCGUGUCCCGUGGGGGGUUCGAACGGCGAGAAGAGCCACCUGUGACACAGACCACACAGCGAAAAAGAGGCGACAAGAAGAGUCAAGGCAAUGAAUCUUGAAAACGCAAAACAAGUAAACACGCAUUGCUAAGCAGAAACAACCAGAAAAAUACAUAGUGAACUCUCAUGGCGGUAGUACCGCCACCCCUGGCGGUAGUACCGCUACCCCCUGGCGGUAGUACCGCUGGGGGUUUGACUUUCAGAUCUGACAUAUAAAACUCGUUUUCGAGGGCAUGGGCUGAAUAUGAACACUAAGACGUACACCCCCAGCCCUACUGUCAUGAGGAACACUUAGUAACAAGAGAUACAUACAUGCCUAGGCAAGAGAGAACACGUUUUAGAUCUAAUACAAAAGUUCAAGUGUUCGAUCUAAGACGAGUAACUCCUAGGGCAUGGCAGCAAACUCAACAUCAAACCAUCGGACCUAUACUCCCCUCAAAUAUUUCCUUCAUGCCAUCCAAGAACUAGCCAUAGGAUCAAAAGUAUGAAUCCAAUCCCCAAUGCUCCUAACCCUAGAACACGAACAACAACCAAAUAGAAGAAGGGAGGAGCUUUACCGGGAUUCAUGGCUCUUGGAGGAGGAAGAAGAGAUGAAGCAACCCUUCCACACCAAUGGGGAGAAGGAGCUCCACGAAGUGAGAUCCAAUCAGGGAGUUUUCGGGCUAGGGGAGGGAGGAGCCGCGAGGAAGAAGAAACAGAAGAGAAAAUCGGGCUCCCCCUCCCUUUAUAUAGCCCAAGGGGUACGGGCCAGCGGUAGUACCGCUGGGGUCCUGGCGGUAGUACCGCUCCCCCUGGCGGUAGUACCGCUCCCUCUUGAAACCCUAGAAUUUUUCUAGCCGGUCGUGUUAGAUUUUGAAUCCUGGCGGUAGUACCGCUACCCCUGGCGGUAGUACCGCUGGGGUCCUGGCGGUAGUACCGCUGUACAUGUUUCAACACGGCUAAGGAAAUAAGGGUGAACUUGGGCACAUGACAAGAGUAAAAGGAGAUAGCAUCCAAGAGAAUGUACUGACUUGUCAUUGUAUAUCCUCUCCUUUAUACGCAGGAGAGGAUGGAGGGGCGGUGGCCGAGGCCACCUAUGUUUGAGACAAUGGUAUGACACCGCGAAGAAUUAUCCUUGGGUUCAUGACCAAUGCUCGUCUUUGAAGCACAAGUGCCAUUUGACAAUGGCUAAAGUGAAAGACUAGAUUGAUUUACGCAUAAUGGGGGGAGGGAGAGUUUAUUGAGAGAACAACACUCCCCCUAUGUCCAUGCCUACAUCUAGACCAAGAUGGAAUGUAAAGUGAGGUGCAAUAUGCCUAGUUUCAAUCCACAUUACUUGAAUCAAUGAUAUUCAGCUCAUGCCUUAACUCCCGGAACCUUGCUUCAUCUAGAGGCUUAGUGAAGAUAUCUGCAAGUUGCUCUUCAGUGUGGAUGAAGUGAACCUCAAUAUCACCUAGCUUGAUAUGUUCACGAAUGAAGUGAUGACGAAUAUCAAUAUGUUUGGUUUUGCUAUGUUGCACAGGGUUAAGGGAAAUCUUGAUGGCGCUUUGAUUGUCACAUAGAAGAGGCACUUUGUCACAAGUGACACCAUAAUCCUUUAAAGUUUGCCUCAUCCAUAGCAAUUGUGCACAACAACUUGCAGCUGCCACAUACUCAGCUUCGGUGGAUGAUAAGGAGACACAGUUCUGCUUCUUUGAAGACCAACUUACCAAAGAGCAACCAAGGAAUUGGCAUCCUCCAAACAUUGACUUCCUCUCCACACAAUCUCCAGCCCAAUCUGAAUCAGAAUAGCCAACUAGAUUGAAGUUUGCUCCUUUGGGAUACCAGAGGCCAAAGUUUGGGGUAUGAGCCAAAUAUCGGAAGAUUCGUUUGACAACCAUGUAAUGACUUUCUUUUGGUGCGGAUUGAAACCGUGCACAUAUCCCUACACUCAACAUAAUAUCCGGUCUAGAUGCACAGAGGUAAAGGAGGGAUCCAAUCAUGGAGCGGUAUACCUUUUGAUCCACUGCUUUACCAUUGGGAUCACUGUCAAGCUUGCAUCUGGUUGGCAUGGGGAACUUGACCGGUUUGACAUCUUCGAGCUUGAACCGUUUGAGCAUGUCUUGAGUGUACUUGGCUUGUUUGAUGAAUGUCCUUUCUAGACCUUGUUUAAUCUCGAAGCCGAGGAAAAACUUCAACUCUCCCAUCAUGGACAUCUCAAACUUCUCAGUCAUUAGUGCAGCAAAUUCUUCAUUGAAUGAAAUGUUAGGAGAGACAAAGAUAAUAUCAUCAACAUAUAGUUGGCAUAUGAACAAAUCCCCUUUAACCCUCUUAGUAAAAAGAGUGGGAUCAAUCUUCCCAAUUUCAAACCCACGAUCUUGUAACAACUCAGUAAGGUACUCAUACCACGCGCGUGGGGCUUGUUUAAGGCCAUAGAGUGCCUUAUUGAGUUUGUACACAUGAUUGGGGAGCUUGGGAUGUUCGAAUCCCGGGGAUUGUUUGACAUAUACCAACUCAUUCAAAGGACCAUUAAGAAACGCACUUUUCACAUCCAUUUGUUGUAAUUUGAAGUUAUGAUGAGAAGCAAAUGCAAGUAACAUGUGAAUAGAUUCUAGACGAGCAACAGGGGCAAAGGUUUCACCGUAGUCGAUACCCUCGACUUGGGAGUAGCCUUGAGCCACCAAUCUUGCCUUGUUUCGAAUCACAAUUCCAUUUGCAUCUUGCUUGUUCUUGAAUAUCCAUUUGGUCCCGAUGACAUUAUGUUCCUUCGUUGGCCGAGGUACUAAAUCCCAGACUUGGUUGCGCUCGAAGUUGUUAAGUUCUUCGUGCAUGGCCAUAAGCCAAUCCUCAUCACCGAGUGCUUUCUGUACCUGUUGAGGUUCACAAUACGAGACAAACGCGUGAUGCUCACAAUAAUUCCAAAGCUGUUGACGGGUAGAUACUCCCCUUUUUAAACUGCCAAGAACAUUCUUCAUAAGGUGUGACUUGGCUUUCAGCUUGUUCGCAUUCUUGGCUGCUCGACGCUCCAAGAGUUCUUCAUUCGAUAACGGAGGAGCAUCGACUUGUUUCUUUUGUUUGCCCUUGCGUCUUGAGUCGGUUGUUGGAGCUCCAGACGGGAAUUGUGAGACAGUCUCCUGAUCAUCUUGUCCUUCGACUUGAGCAGGUUCACUAGUUUGAUCUUGUAUCAGUGGUUGCUCUUGAUCUUGAUCUUGUGCUGGUUCCGGGUCUUGGAGUAGAGCUUGAAUAUCAUGGGGCAUAUCACCAUUGUUAGGCAAUUGACCUUGACCGUGAGCUUGAUCAACUUGUUGAGAGUCUUCUCUUUGUUCAUCGGAAGCGUGUGGGGCUUGUGGGGGUGAUGGCUCCACUUGAGUAGAGCAUUGUCCUUCUCCUUCGGCCACAAGGGGUUCCUCAAUGGGGAGUAUUUGACCAAUCCCCAUUCUUCUUAUGGCUUCGAGAGGAAUUUCAUCACCUAUAUCACAAAGACCACUUUGCUCCACUUGGGAGCCAUUAUUUUCGUCAAACUCUACGUUACACGUCUCCUCAAUUAGUCCGGUGGACUUGUUGAGGACACGGUAAGCAUGAGAGUUUGUAGCAUAACCAACAAAGAUACCCUCAUGUGCUCUAGAAUCAAAUUUAGCUAACCGAGCUCCCUUUUUAAGAAUGAAACACUUACAACCGAAUACUCGGAAGUACUUGAGAUUGGGUUUGUUUCCAGUUAGAAUCUCAUACGGAGUCUUGUUCAAGCCUUUGCGGAUGUAGAGCCGAUUGGACGCAUGACAUGCUGUGUUGAUGGCCUCUGCCCAGAAGUUGUAUGGAGAUUUGAAUUCUGCCAUCAUUGUUCUUGCAGCGUCUAUCAAGGUCCGGUUCUUCCUUUCUGCCACGCCGUUUUGCUGAGGGGUAUAUGGUGUAGAAUAUUGGUGCUUUAUUCCCUCAUCACCUAGAAACUCAUCUAGGGUGUAGUUCUUGAACUCGGUGCCGUUGUCACUCCUAAUCAUCAAGAUCUUUGCUUCAUGUUGACGUUGUGCUUCAUUAGCAAAGUUGAUGACCGUUUGUUGAGUUUCACUCUUCCUUUUGAAGAAAUAUACCCAGGUAUAUCUUGAGUAGUCGUCAACAAUCACUAAGCAAUAUUUUCUGCCUCCAAGACUAUCAAAUGUUGGAGGACCAAACAGAUCCAUAUGGAGAAGUUCCAAUGGCCUCUUAGUGUAGAUAAGAGUCAUUGGACGAUGAGCAGUUUCAUGAAUCUUUCCUUUAAUGCAAGCACUGCAAACACGAUCUUUAGCAAAGCUCACAUUUGUUAGUCCACGAACAUGGUCCCCUGUCAGAAGACUUUGCAAAGAUCUCAUAUUGACAUGAGCUAAACGGUGAUGCCAAAGCCAGCCCACGUCAACUUUAGCCAUUAAAUAUGUCGCAGUCUUAGUGGGUCGCUUUGAGAAGUUCACUACAUAGAGACCAUUUUCGACAUGUCCAACAUAGGCUACUUUAAGAGUCUUGCUCCUUAGGAGGACCACAGUGUCAAUAUUAAAGAAUGUGGAAAAACCCAUGAUUGCAAGUUGACGAACCGAAAGUAAAUUGUAGGCAAGUGACUCAACAAGCAUGACCUUCUCAAUAGAUAAAUCUUGAGAGACGACCACCUUACCAAAUUCCAAUACCUUUGACGAGGAUGCAUCGGCGAAUUGGACAUGGGUGGGCAUAGAUGGAGAAGGAUGCACAUCCACCACUAAGUCCUUGCUUCCGGUCAUAUGAUUUGUUGCUCCACUAUCGAGCAACCAUGACACCCCACCGGAAGCAAACUCCUGCAAUAGAUCAAGGCUUGGUUUUAGGUACCCAUUUUUUAAUGGGUCCUUUCAUGUUAGAGACAAGGGUCUUAGGAACCCAGAUAGCCCAUUCAAUAUCUUCAUCGUAGGAACCAACAAAUCUGGCAUAAACAUGCCCAUCACUAGCACAACAUAACACAUAAUAGGAAUUGAGUUUGCCGGCUGUGUUAGUAGGAGUGGUUUUGCCCUUCUUGGGGUUCCCAUAGUCCACCUUGUUCCUGUUCACCUUCUGAGUCCCCUCACCCUCUUUGACAAAGAUGUCCAUGAGGGUGAGAGAUCGUUUGUCCUUGUUCUUCCUCUUACCUUUUGACUUGGAGGUAAGUCCAAUUCCUUCCUUUCCUACAACACCCUUUUGAGUGCUCAAGAGAUCGUUCAGACUCUUCUCACCUUGUCUGCAUGCCACAAGGCCCUUCUCAAGUUUCUCCUUUAACUUGGCAUUUUCCUCCACAAGAUGAACAUGCUCACAACAGGGGUUAGUUGCACAAGUAUUAUCAAUUAACACAAUGGGAGGACAAGUAGAGAUCUCCUUGGCAAGCUUUGUGUGGAGUUGAUCAUGAGACUCUUUCAGAGAGAAAUGAACACCUUUCAAGGCUUUGUGGGCCUUGUCAAGUAUGUCAAACUCUUCUUUGAGUCUGUCACGACCAACCUCAAGAGCAUACUUUUCAGAUUUAAGCAUGCGAGUAAGAACAACAUCAUGAUCUAGUUUCUUUUGCAUUUUAGCGCAGUCAUCGUUAUAUGACUCCUCAAGAGCCAAACGAAGAGUGCGCUCUUCUUCUAGAGCACUAGAUAAUUCGGCAAUUUCAUCGGCAUAGUCACGGCUAUGUCCCUGAAGCUCGGAGAUGGUCUCCUCAUGAGACUCAAUGAGGUCAGUGGCCUCACCCAGUUGUUCCAAGAGAGCAACAAAGUGCUUCUUGGGUUCUCCCUUAAUAGUGCAUAGAAACUUAUCAAGAUCAUGCUCAUUAAGUUCUCCAACAUCACUAUCUUCUACACAAUUUAACAAUGAAGGAGCAGAAGCAAUGUUGGUCUUAAUGAUGGGAGUUACCUGAUUGGUACCUUUUGCCAUGAGGCACUUGGUGAUGUGGUUCUCGUUGGGGGCGUUGAAGAGAGACACCUUCUGGGAAGAGGUAGUGGCAAUAGCAACAGUUGCCGUUGCCACUGUAUCAUCAUCAUCACCAUCGUCAUCAGAAGGAUACUCCUCCAGGGCCACCAUCCCUUUUGGGUGAGGUUUCUUCACAAAGUUGUUCUUGAUUGGAAAUGAUUUGGUUUUGUCUUUGCGAAUGAGCUUGCCUCCGUUGUCUUCCCUCUUCUCAUAGGGACAUUCUGCCACGAAGUGACUUACGUUGCCACAGUUAUAACAUGUCCUUACUCGUUGUUUGGGUUUGAAUCCACUCGAGUUGUUCUUGUUGAAGGUGGGUCUUGAGUUCCUUUUAUUUCCCCAGAAUUGCCUUGAUGCAAGAGCCAUGUGCUCAUGAUAGGCAUACUUUGUGUCUUCCGGGCAGCUCUCCUCUUCCUCAUCUUCUUAUUCUUCUUCAAGCAUUGCUCUUGCUUUCAACGCAAGGUUGGGUGAAGUGGUUUUUGAUCGGACACGAGCAAGUGCAUUGUCGGCUAUUUCGUUCAUGAUUGACAUUGCAAUGAACUCAUCCAACACUUCACUGGAAGACAAGGAGUGGAAGUCUGGCCGCUGACGAAUGAAAGAUGACAUGGCUUUAUUGAAAGGCAUGAUGGCUUUGAGAAACUUGCGCUUGACCCAUGUAUCAUCCACAUCCUUACUCCCAUGAUCCUUUAGUGCCACAGCAAUAGCAGUCACCCUCCGAUAGAGAUCACGGGGGUCCUCGUCUUCCUUCAUCACAAACUCAUCGGCCUUAUCAAGUAUCACUUCAUAGUUGGAUCGUUGAAUACUUGAGCUUCCCUUGUACAACACCAUAAUAUGCUCCCAACAAUCCUUGGCCAAUGUGAAGGGACAUAAGUGGGGAAGAUCUUCAGGUGGCACAGCAGACUGGAGAAUAAACAACGCAGAGUGAUUAUAUUGAUUGUCUGCAUCUUCUCUUGGAGUGAGGUUGCUUGGGUCAUGGGGAUAAUAUCCUUGCUCGAUAAUUCUCCACAAAUUUGUUGAGCUGUGAUUCAAAUGAGACUUAAUAGAAAAUACCAAGUUAGCAAAGUCACCUUUCACAAGUUUAGGAGGAGGACCAACAGGAUUAAGACGAGGUGCGAGAACGGGUCCUCCAUAGGCCAUGGGAGGUGGAACUGAGGCAUAUGUUCCAGUCCCAUCCUUUUCGUGAGGUGAAACCGGUCGCAUACCUUUAGCCGCUUCCUUAGAGGAGUUGGCCUCCGAAUCGGAAAUGGUGGGUUUAACCACUAAAGCCGGUUCGGGUGCAACUUUUAAGACCCUCAAUUAAUUCUUUAAGCAUGGUUUUGACUUCGCUCGUCAAGGACGUCUUGAGGGCUGCCAUAGUCGUAUUCAAGUCGUCCCUUGUGACCGAAGUCAAGUCCAUGUCCUCGGGUUGUCCAUGGUUAACUUCCUCUCCGCCUUCCAUACUCUUCAGGUGGUUAAACCCUUAAUAAAGAGACGUGGAUCUGAUACCAAUUGAAAGGAUCGAUAUGGUUAGCUAGAGGGGGGGUGAAUAGACAACGACCACUUUUCAAUUAAUCUUAGCAAGUUAAGGUAAACACUAUGCGGGUUCACAAAUAAUAUGACAAUAAGGUGAACCCUAUAGAAUCUAACAACGAGAGCUAUUAAGACAACUAAGAUAUAGUCACAAGCAAAAGCAAAUACAAAGUAAGGGAUAGAGAUAACCACAAGUGGAACCGAUGGAGACGAGGAUGUGUUACUGAAGUUCCUUCCCUUUGACAGGAAGUACGUCUCCGUUGGAGCGGUGUGGAGGCACAAUGCUCCCCAAAAAGCCACUAAGGCCACCGUAUUCUCCUCACGCCCUCGCACGAUGCAAGGUACCGUGAUUCCACUAUAGGUGCCCUUGAAGGCGGCGACCGAACCUUUACAAACAAGGUUGGGGCAACUCCACACAAAGCUUGGAGGCUCCCAACUAAACCACGAAGCUUCACCACAAUGGAAUAUGGCUUCGAGGUGACCUCAACCGUCUAGGAUGCUCAAACACCCAGGAGUAACAAGAUCUGCAAGGGAUUGGUGGGGGAAUCAACUUUUCUCUCGGUGGAAGUGUGGAUCUAGGCCUUCUCAACCAAUCCCUAAAGAAUCAACAAGUUUGAUUGGCUAGGGAGAGAGAUCGGGCACUUUUGAGCUUGUGGAGCAACAAUGGAGCUUAGAGAGGUAAGAGAUAGGGUUCCUCAGCUAGAAGAACCCUUUAUAUAGUGGGGGGGAAAUUCAGACCGUUUUCCCACUCUCUGCCCGAGUUCCAGCGGUACUACCGCUGCCUGGCGGUACUACCGCUGGAUGCAGCGGUACUACCGCUGGGUCUCCAGCGGUACUACCGCUGACACCAACGGUACUACCGCUGGCCCCUUGGUAGUGCUCAAGCACUACUACCGCCGGGAAAGUCUUCGCAAAAGGGUCCGUCCACGAACUACCGCUAGGUAGGUGGAACAAAGCACCUGGAGCGGUACUACCGCUGACCAGGGGCGGUACUACCGCCAGCUAGCGGUACUACCGCCAGCUAGCGGUAGUACCGCUGGCUCCGGCGGUAGUACCGCUGGACUACUAGCGGCAGUACCGCUGGGGACCAUUUUGCAGAGAUACUCAAAAUGAAUAGGCGAGGGCCGCUCCAAAAGAUAAGGAAAGGGAGAAUGUGAAGUGUGCGUGUGUAAAGAUAGAUUACACCCAAACCUUUCCACUAUGGAUCCCCUCUUAAUAGUACGGCUUUCCUAAGACUCAAAUAAAGAGAAUCGUAGAGAGCACCGUGCUUCCGUUCCAGGAGAGAGGAGACGAGUCGUCUUGUGCCAUUGACGUGUGUUAUCUGAAACCUUGACACACACGGUUAGUCCUGUACGGUACUGUCAUCAAUCACCAAAAUUACUUAGGCGUAAACUAUGCCCCAACAGAGAUUAGCCAACAUCCAAGGACGAACGUGCAACAAAAGGGCCUAGUUUUUUGGACGAGAGUCCACAAAACUUUCCAUUGAAAGGAAGAUGUUUGAGCCUUAUCAAAUCACAAGCGACCGUGGCAUCACCUCGAUUCAAAAGAGGUGGUUGUUCAUCCAACAAGAGUGCAAUAAGUAUUGCGCCGCAUCGGAGAGCGUUGAAGCACGGCCCGUGAGUGGUCCCGGCAUUGGGGACAUGGUAUGCUCUCCUCAUCCUAGUCCUCUCCUUGCUUCGGCCUUGUAUAUGUUUGAAUGUCCAAAUCUUGUUGAUCAUGUGGUGUAGGCAUUUCAAUCUUUGGAAGCAUUCAAGGCCCGACACAAUGACAAGCCAUUCACUCUUACGCAUUGUUGGACGAUCAUCAACAAUUGCCCUAAGUUCAAGGAUCAAUAUCGUGAACUUCAAAGGAAGAGAGGCAAGAAGACGGCCAAGUUCGUCGGAGGUGGAGAUGGCGAGGCGUUGAAGAGGCCGAGGGGCAAGACCAACUCCAAGGUGGACGACAUACGUGAUGCCGCAUCCAUGGCCUUGCAUGAGACUUUGCAUGGCAUGAUGUCUCAAAAGGACACGAGGGACGAGAAGAAGCGGCAAAGCAAGGACGAGCAAAUGAAGCAAUACCUGGAGCUUCAAAGGAAGAAGCUUGAGAUGGAGGCGGUGGCCAAGAAGAGGAAGAUCGACCUGGAGGAAGCGGCCCGUCAAAGGCAGCUCGACAUUGAGGCAGCCAAUGUCGAGGCCAGAAGAGGCAGCUCGACAUCGAGGCCACCAAUGCCGCAACCAAAGCGAAGGAGGUGGCCCUUGCGAUCAUGAGCGUGGACUUGACCAAGAUGAGCGAGAAGACGAGGAGCUAGUUCGAGGCCAGGCAGAAGGAGAUGUUCGACGCUGACGGCCUGAACUAGGUCAUCCGAUCGGACGUGGUCGUUCUUUUUUUUAGGCUGGCAUCGGUGCUGCCCGCUGGGCCGCUGGCUGUGUGCCGGCGAGAAACAGAUUCAUUUUGGAGGCUGGCUGUGUUGCCGCCCGCUAGCUGUGUUGUCGGCAAACAAAACUAUUUAUUUUGGAGGCUGGUUGUGUUGCUGGCCGCUGGCUUUGUUGCCGGCGAGGACGUGUAGGCCGUUGGUUGCGUUGCCGGCGUGAACUAGCUAGGCCGCUGGUAUUUGAAGCGUUGUUCUUUUGGAGGCGAACAAGAUAGGACAAACGGAUGCGGCCGCGCGCUGGGCGCACGGCCAGCGCAUCCCAGGACAGGGCCGGACACGACCCCAUCUCCCUAUUCCAAACAGUCAGAAUCCGGGCAAAACGAACGUCCGUUUGAGGUCGCGUGGUGGAGUUGGCCUCAAGCGUAUGGUGUGUGGCACUAAAAAGAAGUACAUACCGGCAAAAAAAACUCUCCUUUUUUCCUUUUCCUUUUUAUUUAUACUUUGUUUGAUUACUAAGAUGAUGUAUGUGAGUUAAAUAAGAUUUCAUCCAGGGACGGGUCUAAGGGGAGGCGAGGGGGGAUAGACCCUCCUCAAUGAUUUGAUUUUUCUUCAAUCGAAGUUGCUAUUUUAGCCAAAAAAUCCAACAUCAUGAAAGCUUUACUUUCUUUAUGAGCAAACUCACCCCCUUCAUACGUUCAUAUUGGCUUUGUCCUUGUUCUCAUCUACAUGAGAAUUAACAAAUAAAAAAAAAGGCAUUGAGUUUUGAAGGAUCAAACCUGAGACCGCAUACUGUUGCUGAGCACCAACUACUACCGUGACAAUAUAUAAAUGUCCAUAAAUUUAAAACAGAUAAAGAAAAUAUAAAAAAUGAAUAAAAUGAAAAAGGAGAAAAUAUAAAGUAUAGCUAAAUACAAGAAAUCAUUAGUUUAUAACACGUAAUGAAACAGAAAAAAGAAAACAAUAAAGAAAAACAAAUGCAACAGCGAAUCGAGACAAUUUAACAAUAGAAAAAAGGUAAAAUCAGCCCACGCGUGUCGGGCAGGCUACACGGAACGGGCUAUAAAUAGUACUUCCUCUGUCUUAAAAUAAGUGACUCGAAAAUGACUUAAUAUUAUAUUAAAUUUAGUACAAAGUUGAGUCAUUUUUGAAUCACUUAUUUUGAGACGGAGGGAGUAUGAUCGAGCAAAUACAAGAUCGAAAAGCCAGACAAAUUGCUAGACUUGUACGUAUAUUUUGAAGACAAAACAAAUCCAAUGGUAAAGGACUUAGAUGUGAGGUAACAGUUUCACAUCUAGAUGUAAAAUAUGAAAUUCAUAGAAUUAUUAGGUGAUCAUAUGUGGUCCAAACAUUAAUUAUUAGUGGUCAAAUAUAUUUGAAAAACUAAUAUAGAGGUAAAACUGAAGCAUACCCACAUUCACGCAAACGUUGAUGUUUUCUUCAAUAUCAUCUUGAGGAUGAAUAUCGAAGGUUACUCUUGCAUAUCCUCCUUAAAUUCAUAUGCCUUACCUAGAGCUUCCCUCUGAAAUGUGUAUAGCUUAACCCGAAAUGGAUAACUAUGUUUAGUCCUCAGGUGAGCUCUCCUUGUCUUCAUAUUCUUACUAUCUUGGAAAGCGAGCUUCUUGAAGACAUACCAUCUUGCAUGACAUUGGAUACAUUAGUGGAAUUGUAAAAAACAGAAAUUACACGUUGAAGAAAAAAAAACACAAGUCAUGAUUAAUUACGAAAAAUAUAUGUCAUCAUUGCAUACCUAAAGACAUCGAAUGACUCGUCCAACUUGAUGGUGAAGAACCUACCGUCUUGCAGGUGAGGCCUGUCGCAGAUUCCUCGAUCGUCACUGCAGUAAUCACAUUCAAGGAUCCGUUGUUGGACAUUUCUUGUGUUCACGAUUCAAAUAUUAACCGACGACAAUUAUACUAGGAAGUAUUCUGCAUGGAUUGACUUUCGGCCUGUCGAGGCUUCCUUAAAAAAAUAUAAUAUAUCAUGGUGUAUAUGGUGCGGCAAUCCGUCACAUUGAUAUGGUUGUGUAUGUGGUGGACACUCCUCUUGACAUAAAUUUUGACCAUUGUUGCUCGUCGCUCCUUCCUUCGUCCCCGUGUGUAUUACCAAAAUGUGUAGCACAUAGAGAAGAAGGAGGAAGUGACCCCCACAACAGCAGUUGGGACUCUUCCUCUGAUAUUUUGACUGUUGGUGAUGGUCGCUUCAUCUCCCUUUCUCGCGCAUUAUACUGAUACGUCUUCAAUGUAUCUAUAAUUUUUGAUUGUUCCACGCUAAUAUAUUAUCAUUCUAAUAUGCUUUUGAGGUAUUUAUUUACCAUUUUAUAUUAUAUUUUAACACUAACCUAUUGACCCACUGCCCAGUGUCAGUUGUUGUUUUCUGCGUGUUUUUUACUUUGCGUAUUUUUCAUACCAAAGGAGGUCCAAUUGCCCUGAAAUUUUUUAAUGAUUUUUUUCUGGACCAAAAAAAGAGCAAUGAGCAUCGGAAGAAAGUUGGAGGCCUCACGAGGGGCCCACAAGUUAUCAAAGUGUGGCCUGGGGGCGGCCUGAUAGGUUGUGCCCCCCUCGUGGCCCUUCCGACGCUGUUUUCGGCUUAUAAAUUCUUAUUUACCCUAGAAAGGUCAGAGGGAGUCCCUGAACACUUGUUACGUCACCGCAAGUCUCUGUUUUGACGGGAGGCCAUCUGGAGCUCCGUUCCUGCAUCCUACCGGAGGGGGGAUCGAUCACGGAGGGCCUCUUCAUCAACCUUGCUGCCCUCACGAUGAUGUGUGAUUAGUUCACCACAGACCUACGGGUCCAUAGUCAGUACCUAGAUGGCAAUCUCGCUCUUUGAUCUUCAAUACAAUGAUCAUCACAUCUUCGCUUUGAUCCAUAUGAUGUAAUUCCUUUUGUGUGGUGCGUUUGUUGAGAUCCGUUGAAUUGUGAGUUUAUGUUCAGAUUAUUCAUGAUAAAUAUUUGAGUCAUCUCUGAAUACUUAUAUGAUUUUUAUGUGCAUGAUUAUGAUAGCUUUGUUAUUUUCUCUGAUCUAUUGAUUUAGUUUGGCCAACUAGAUCGGUAUUUCUUCGGUGAGGGAGGUGCAUUGUGGUAGGUUCAACCUGACGAGUUUCUAUAUCCCAGUGAUAGAAGGGGACAAGAUGCAUCAUUGUGUUGCUGCUACUAAGGAUAAAACGGUGGGGUUUAUUCAUAUUGCUUGAGUUUACUUUGUCUAUAUCAUGCCAUCUUACUCCAUGCAUUACUUCGUUCGUCAUGAACUUAAUACGUGAAGAGGCAAGAAUAAAAAGCGCUCUUGAAGUGAAGUAAUAGUAAUAAGGUGCAGGCAGGACUCUGCCUAUUUUUUUAUGAACGUGAUGCCUAUAUACACAUUUGAUGCACUUUGUUUACGUCUAAUGGAAGACCUCGACGUGCCUGCAUCAUUGUCUUGAUGUGGUGAUCAAUUUCUCUAUGAAGAAUAUCAUUACAUAGUCUAAAUAUAAAUCAAAAUCCAUGAAAGAACAAUAAGGAAACUAGGGCAAAAGAAAAUCCAUGCUAGACAGAACACACAAGAGGGGGAGAUAUGACGAUGUGAUCUUAUUAGUCAUUACCUUAAAUUUGUAAUAGAGUUGACGGCUUGCCGCGUUAUCUAGUUGUUGCCAGGGUGUGACGAACUGACGAUAGAGGAAUGGGUGAACAAUGGAGACAAGAGGAGAGAGGCUAGAUGUGAGUUCGGAGACCUAAUGAGUCAAAAGGAGCAUAGCUCAGUUGGCUUGGCGUUGGAGAUUGCAGCCAACCCAUCGGUGUUCGAGCCUCGGCUCUAACACUUGAUGCUCACGGACUUUUCUUCUAUAAAAAAAUGCCAGCAGGCUAGUCUAGUCCGGAUUGGUCUCAUUAAUUUUUAAAAGGCACGGCGGCUGUUGCGUACGCAUCGUACGAGUAAAAUUCGGGAUUGAGAGACCUGCGUAGUGGGAGCACCGAUGCAAUUUCCUUAUGAGCCUUUCGGCCUAUUAGACUAUCCACGUUUCAUUAUUCUUUUGAUCGAUGGGGUCAGCCUAAUCUUUUUACUGGGUUCACACCCAAUAGGUACCUACUUGUAAGUACGUAGCCAACAAAUGUUAUUGGGUUCAAGUGCACCCAACGCCAUCACGGUGGCUCCGCCCCUGGCCUCUAUUCUACUGCCUCCGUUCCUAAAUAUAAGUCUUUUAAGAUAUUUGAAUAGAAGUCUACAUACGAAGCAAAAUAAGUGAAUCUAUACUUUAAAAUAUGUUUAUAUACAUCAGUAUAUACUUUACUAGUGAAAUCUCUAAAAAGACUUAUAUUUAGGAACGGAGGGAGUAUAUGAUACUACCUCCGUCUCAAAUUAGUUGUCUCAAAUUUGUUUAGAUACGGAUGUAUUCAUGAUAUAAAAGUGUUUUUGGCAUUAAUGUAGUGACAAAAAUGCUUUUAUAUUAUGGGAGGAAGGGAGUAUCAAGUUACGUUUUAGUGUUACAUGCAUCCUAUCUACAAAUCAGGACAAACUAAUUUGGGACGGAAGUAGUAAUGUUAUUUUGCUGUGCUCUAGUGCUCUAUAGGCAGUAUAGCUUGCUUAAGUGUCAAGGUUUAAUUCAAAAGUUGGAGGCCAAGUCGUAUCAGGUACGCCAACUUUCUUAUGGCCUUAUAUUACUCUACAGAUACUUGCAUAUGCCUUUUUUGGAAAAAUUCAGUGUUGCUUGUCCGCGUCUGUGGAACAUAACAAGGUCUGAAUCAUUGUGUGCAUAGUUGUGUAGAACCUACUACCUCUGUUUCUAAUUGCAAGACGUUUUGGCAGUUCAAAUUGAACUGCAAAAGCAUCUUACAUUUAGGAACAGAGCUAGGGUGUAUGUUAUUACCUAUUUGAUAUAUCGUGAUAAGUAUCACACACCUAUUGUAGGAACACCAGGCAAGAUGCACAAUGCGUAAGUGCGUUAGAAAAAUGGCCUUGCCGCAUCAACCCUGAGCUUCUGCCCAUGCUAGUGGAUUUCUACAUCCACAGCAAAUGGCAGCAGGCCCUCUACCAUAAUUCAUGUCAUUUUUGCAGACUACACAAUUUGGAUGGACCGUUUCUAACACAGUGUUGCCACCUACUGCAUCCAUUUCAUAAUAUAAGAGCGUUUUUGACACUAUUAUGACGGAGGGAAUAGUUUGCUAUGGACCUGGUUUAAUUCAGUCUCUGAGUCCAAUCUCAAAACAAAUAAGAGGUUAAGAAUGGAGUGAUAAGUCAUGAGGUUUUACAUGAUAACAAAUUGCUUUGGUGCAUAUUAUGAUGCUCUGGCACUUGUUCGUUUCAUCAUGUAUAGCUAGCCACACAAAAAUGCAUUUCAUUCAUCACCGCCAGUUCUGAUUUUCUGAAUCAAAGUCUGAUGUUACUUCCAUAGUUGUUUGCUCAAGUAUGUGCUCCCAAUCCUGUAGUUAGACAAAUCAACGCAAGCCAAAUUAUGUUUCAUAUUCAUCUUAUUCGAUUACUGCAUGCAUUUCGAAUAACUCCAUUGUAAUUCCUAGCACAUGGUUCUUAUAGAUUGAAAAAUAUGAUGUACAUAUAGGAUAGGACUGGUCAGAACUCCGAGAUAAAAAAUAGAAAAGAUAUAGUCAAUGACGCAAAUCUUGCACUUUAUAAGCUAAAUGUUGCAGCGGGCAGUUUCAAUUUGAUUCAGAUCUUUUCAUCAUCCUUGUUAUGCUGUUGUCACCAGUAUAGUAGUAACUUGUCAUGCUUAGUAUAACAGGAUGUUGAUGUGACAGAGCUAUGAGAUUGUCGGUUCAAUGAAACUAGGGUACCACGGCCCAUUUAUUGCUGGUCCAGUCGGCUGUGCUAAGAAGGCCCAGUGUGGCAGGAGAACCGCUGGAGGAUUCUGACGAUCACCCCGCGAGGCUCCGGCUCCGCGAAGCGCUCUCUCUCUAAGAAGGGCCCACUGGAUACCUGUGCACGAUGUGAGACACCUCGCCAGGUCUCUCCUGCGAGCCUUUUGCAAGGAGAGACCGUGCAGUGUUGGCCUGAUGGUCAUGCGCCCGCCACGUGGAUGACGUGGCCGGGCGACAGGAGCUGCAAGGACGACGCCAACGGGCGCAGCAGAAAAAUAUUUCCUCUUUGUGAUAAAAGGGCAGUGAAAAGUUGUUCCUCCAGAAGAUGAGUCCCGAGACUUACUUUUUUGCGCAAGGAGAUCAGCGUGACAGCAGUCACCAGGACGGACCUCGCCAGCGAGCCCACGAGCGCAUCAUGGAUAGCGCCUUUCCAGGACGAAGAUCAGCGUGACAAGGAUAAAAGGGACAAACGCGCGCGGGGGGUGAGCCUUUUUCUUCCUCAUACCUUGUAACACUUUAGCACAAAAGAGAGAAAUCAAUCCAUAAAGCAGGAAUAGGGUUUUACACCGCAAAGAAAAUUAUGGAAAAGGCCUAAGGCCAUAUAUUAAGUCUUCACGGGUCUUAACAAACACAUCUUUUAUAGAAAACAAAAUGACAUUCAAUUUCUUACAUGUGCUGAAAUUUUCUUUUCUCUGCAUCUACCAAUGACGCAUUGUGAGUAAAGCUUGAUGUCGUCUUUGGGCCUCCGCCUUGAGGAGCAAACUUGUUUAAACCAAAAGCUUGUAGAAGCAAUGGUUAUUACAACACAAAAGUGGAGCAACAUUUGCGUGUAAUGUGUGGAAUUGCUCAAGUGGCAUGAAUCAAUUUGAGUUGGACUAGGAAACAAGAGAGAGUGUGUGUGUGCGCGCGAGAGAGAGUUUUUUGGCACGCAGGUGCGGGGCACCGGGUCCUUCGACGUGCUUUUUCUUUGUGCUUUCAGUUUUCAAACUUUCGUAUUUUUUGAAUAAAAAGUCUAAAUUAAAUUAUGUUUUCAAAUUCGUGUUUCUCGUGACGAGUGCUUUCGAAUAACAUCCAUUUUGAAUAUGCUUUGAUGAAUUUUAAAAAAAGUUAUUAAGUUUCGAUUCUUAAAACUUAGUACAAAAAUGUAAGUUUUAAUGAUUAAAAUUUAAAAUUUAUUGUGGCCUCAUGCGGGAUUCAACUAUUUUGCGAAUUGCGAGGCAGAUGAACGGUCGUACAGGGCUUGAUAGGUGUGUUCCUCUGCAUCGGUGUGCCCUAGUAUCCGGUGGGCGCGCGUGAGUGACAGAGAGAGAGAUUCUUGUACCGUCUAAGAGUUUUCUUACUAUUAUUUUUUCAUUCUUUGAUGCAUGAUUUACGUUGUUCCGUGAAUUCUUAUUUCCUUUUUCCCCGCAGACAACUAGACUUGCGCAUCGGUUGGUCACACGCAAUUGUAGUUGCACAAAAAAUACUGAAAGAAGAAAAGGACGGAAAUGUUGAAAUCUAACCACGCCCAAGGAAUUGUCCAACCCUCUUGUGUUACUGAAAGCAAGAUACUUUUCUCUCUCUUUUUUGAGAAAUCUUCUAAUCUAUUAUCUUCAAUCAUGAUAGUACAACGAAUACUAAAAAUAGUAAAAAUUACAGCCAGACCUAUAGACCACCUAGUGAUGACUACAAGCACUGAAGCAAACUGAAGUCACACCGUCAUCAUCAUCCCUCCCUCGCGAGAGCCAGAAGAAACUUGUUGUAAUAGAUAAUCGAGAAUCCAUCGUGCUAAGACCCCAUAGGACAAGCACACCAGAACAACAACUGUCGUCGAUGAAGAGACGCAUAAAUCGAAAGGAUCCAACCUGAAGACACACGAACGUAUAUGAACAAAGUCAACCACCAAUCUAAUCCCGUGAGAUUCAUCGAAGACACACCUCCACACACCCUCCGACGAUGCUAGAUGCAUCGUCAGGACAAAGGCUAGGCAGCGAGAAUCUUAUUUCAUCUUCAGAGAGCCACCGUCAUCUCGCCUUCCUGAACAGAACACAAAUCCUAAUAAAACUCAAAAAAAAGUCUAAAAAAUAAAGCCCUCCAGCUGGAAAAGGCCAGGAUCCACCAUGGCCCUAGGGCCAUCAGAGACAUAAUGGACCGGCGGGCACUUUCCUCGACUAAUCCACAUGCCGCCAAUUAGUUACACAUUUCUUGAGGAAAUAGUUAAAUGGUUUCUUAUUAGUUAGUAAUUUGUAUGCGUUCAAUACGAGAGAUGGCACCAAAAGAAAACCUAUUGUGCAGUGGCAUGUUUUUAUUGAUCUUUUUUUGACACGGUAUUUUGUUGAUCUUUAGAUAAUCUGAAGAGCACACAAAGCACAUGUUUAGCAUAGCGGUGGCCGCCGCUGCCAAAUGAAAACCUAGAUCACCUCUUCUCAUCUCGCCUCCCUCGGAGAUGUGGUGCUUUGGUGAGACGUGUGAUACAAUGCGGAGGGUCGGGCUGCUACGCGUGCGUUGGUGGCUGGUUCGAGCUCGUGACUCAGCUCCGGCACGUUGCCUAUCUUUUUUUAACACAGUAUAGAUGUAAAUGUUCAUACAAUUUACGAAGUCACGCGUCUCGUCGUCGACGAAAACGUCCCCUCCCACUGAAAGUAUAUCGUCGAAAAUUCAGAAAUAAAUUCAGGAACAAUGCAAGCACCAGGACUUGAACCCUAGUUGGUUGUGGAUACCACUGUCUCUCUAACCAUCCAACCACAUAUUGGUUUGCGCACGUUGUCUACCUUCGGUGGCAGGCCAACAUAAAUAUUUUAAUAAACAACCUUAUAUUCCAUUACAAAGUUAGACGGGCUAAAUCGUGAGCUAUAGAGUUUACAACAAACUCAGGGAAAUAGCCUAGCCAAGUUUCAUAUUGGCCAUCUCCUAGUUUUACACCAUAUGUUGCUAGGCUAUGAGCUUCUACAUUACAGGAUCUUAGACAAACAGUAAUAUUUACAUCAUCAAAAGUGACAUUCAAAUGAAAUUUUAUUUCUUAAAACACAACACCUAAAGUCGACAAGUCAUACUCCUCGCUUGAGAUCGCCUGCUUCAGUACCACAGAGUCUAUUUUAAAUAUCACAUGAUUACAUCCCACUUUCGUAGUUGUGAUAAUUGCAUAUAACAUGGCCAAGGCUUUGGCAUGGAGUGCAUUGGAUACAUGUUCUAGAUUUCCUGCUCCUGCAGCCAUAAAGACACCACUAUCAUUUCUGACAUUAAAACCCCAUCCACCAGACGAAGUCGGUGGCAAGCCAGCAUAGAUUUGGCAUCACAUAAGGGGGCUUCGUGAUGGGAUCCUGGGUGGUGGCGGGUCUUCAGUUGUCUUAGGGUUUUGGAUAGGAGGCAAGACGGUGUUACCAUCCCUAUGUAGGAAUAAAUUUCUCCUUGUCCUAUCUUGGUUCCGUUAGUGUGUUUAUUGUCGACGGAAGGCAUCCGACGUUGUGUCUGAUGGGUUUUUCGAGAUCGAGAUCUGAUUAGUCUAGGUUUCUGGUGAAUCCGUCUAAAUUCAAUCGGUUUUCGUUAUCCUCAGAGUUUCUACAUGCCCUUUUUGGUAUUUUCUUCUCCGGGGCGGCGAUUUGCUUCGCAGAUCAUGGUGCCGACAUCUCAUAGUCUACUUCGACGACUUUCUGGCCGAGGCGGAGGCCACAUCGAGCCAUUUUUGUUGUCGUGUCGUCGAUGGAUGUAGGAGGAAGAACACUUUGGCUCCCCAUGAAUUUGAAUGUAAUUUUUCUGUACUGGUGAGUUUGUAAGACAUGUAUUACUUAAUACUACCUCCGUCCGGAAAUACUUGUCCUAGAAANNNNNNNNNNNNNNNNNNNNNNNNNNNNNNNNNNNNNNNNNNNNNNNNNNNNNNNNNNNNNNNNNNNNNNNNNNNNNNNNNNNNNNNNNNNNNNNNNNNNNNNNNNNNNNNNNNNNNNNNNNNNNNNNNNNNNNNNNNNNNNNNNNNNNNNNNNNNNNNNNNNNNNNNNNNNNNNNNNNNNNNNNNNNNNNNNNNNNNNNNNNNNNNNNNNNNNNNNNNNNNNNNNNNNNNNNNNNNNNNNNNNNNNNNNNNNNNNNNNNNNNNNNNNNNNNNNNNNNNNNNNUUUCUAGGACAAGUAUUUUCGGACGGAGGGAGUAUAUGGUCGCCCCUUAAAAGAACAAACUUAAUAUAUGGUCUCGUGUCUUUUCCCAAAAAAAACGUAAAGAACACAUGAGAAAAUUCUCUCUACAACCGGUGUAAAUAUUGCUCGUGAUUUCCUUCGGUGCUACUGCAUAUCAUGCCACAUUUGGUAAGCAAUCCAAGCAAUUUAAGAAAAAUUGAAGAUCUUUUUCUUUAUAAAAAUUCCUUUUUGAGUUUUUUAUGAAAAACAAACAUCAAUUAACUUUAACUCCAAGAUCUAAAAUAGAUCUUAAAACGACUUCUAUGCAGGGCCGGCCCUGGUGUAUGACCGGAGGGGCGACGGCCCAAGGCCCAUGCCUGGAGGGGGCCCAUCAUCUGGUAUACAUGUGUAAUAUAGCCUAGCAAAAAACUAAGUAGGAAAAAUUUAAAAGAGCAAAAAACAAGAUGCUAGGCCUAAUUAUCUUGCGGAUAGCUAAGUGAUGAAGGGUCCCCACGGCCACAAACCGCCAUGUGUCUGUUGUGUGUGAAAGAAAUCUGGCGAUCGUUUCAGUUCGUCAGUUCGUACUUCUUCGAGUCUCUUGAUACGUCACUCUGCGGGUCGCCGCCUGCCUGCCAGCUCCGGUUGCUCGGGAUUCAGGUCCUAGUUUGUUGUCGCCGCGGCCCGCGAGGUUCGCCAGUUCGUCUUCGAGGCUCCCUGAAACGUCGCUUGGUGCCUCGUCGCCUGUCUGCCUGUCUCUGUCGUUCGGGAUUCAGGUUCUAGUUCACUGUCGCUGCGACGCGCGGCGGCAGGCCGACAACCUUCUGUUGCGUCGUUCGUCCGUGUUGGCGACCUUGCCAUCCGGCCUCCGGCGGCAUCCACGAAACCGUUCGCGCAAUCGAUUACAAAAUCUUAUUCAUUCAUGAAUGACCCAACCCCCAAUUUCAGUGUACAUGAUUAGCCUUCGUGUAUAAAUUUUUUAUUUAGUCUUUCACAAUUACUUGUAUAUAUUCAUCCAUCCUAAAUCUUUAUGUACAUCACUAGGAUUUUGAUGCAUAAAUUUUCGAUUCUCUGUAUUAUCUUCUCUUCAUAAUUUUAGGUCAUUAGCCUUUCUUGCAUUGUUAUUCAUGGAAUCGGUUGAAUCUGGUUCUUAUUUGAUGUAAUAAUGUCAGUUUCAUUUUGCUAUCUCUUUAGUCUUUAUGUGGUAAUAUGGCAUUUGUCCAAUAAGUGUUGUAGUCCAAUCUCAAACUAAAGAUGUAUGGUUAAAAGUUUACUCUUAAUUAAUAUUAUGCAAAUGAAGUUAUAUUAUUUUUAUUGUCUAAGAAUUUAGGGGCCCAUGUCCUCGUGUUUGCCCUAGGGCCUUCCGAAAUAUAGGGCCGACCCUGCUUCUAUGUUUUUCCUGGACUCCCUCCCGGUGUAGGAAACGUACUCGUAUAGUAUAUCUGAAGUAGGAGUCCUCCACGUAUAUAAUUGGCAGGUGAUGGUGAACGUAGGCACGCACGGAUAGACUGUACCCCGUGACCAAAAGACAGGCAUGGCGCCGCCGGAGAACUUGGACGGCGGCCAUCGGGCCAUCGUCAUCGAGGACGUCCCGCCGGGCACCGGGAUCGGAGACCUCGUCGGCGCCUUCUCCCCUUUCGGUGCGAUCCAGUUCGCCUCCAUGGGUCCUCCGGCCAUCGUAGGCUUCGCGAGCGAGGAGGCCGCGGCGCACGCGCUGCUUGUGGCGUCCAUGAAGAGCGUCAGCCUCCUCGGCGUCUACAGGGAGAAGGCGGCGCCGGCAGAGCGCCUAGUCGCCGACACGCCACCCAAGACGACGACCAGCCGGAUCGAGGCCGCGGCGACCGGUACGACGGCGGAGACCAAGACCAGCCUGCAGAACAAGGCAGCGUCGGCGCCCGCCGUGCACGUAGACCAGGAGGCGAUCAGGUCGCUCGUGGACUCCAUCGCCGCCCUGGAGAAAAGCCUCGACGCCUUGAAUCGCCUGCUCAACGAGCAGAGCUCCAAGAAGGAGGAGGAGGACGACGACAUCGACGUUUACGACUACGACUACGACUAUGACUACGACUACGACUACGACUAUGACGGGGCCUGGACGGACGGCUACAGUUCAGCCUUGUACUGGCGGAACGAUAACUACUACGACGCCUGGUUUGCCGGCUACCAAGCUGGAGUCAAGGAUUCGCCGGUUGGUUAGCCUUGGAUUUACAUAACUCAAAGCUGCGUCUAGGAGGAAGUGGCUUUUUUCAGACGUUAGAAGGUGUGGAAAGAAAAUUAGGCAUCUACUUUUCAUGUCGUCGUCAUUGUUUCUACAAUUUUUCAUUGGACAAAACCCUAGAUUCAAGACAUCUGUGUUUUUGUUAGGGAGUUAAUACGUAUAUCAGAUACAGAAAAAGGAGGAUUUUUUCUUUUUAUGUAAUACUACAAUACAAGUAUAUGUAAGAAGAAGUUUAGUGUCUUCGCAAAAAGAACAAAAAAGUUUAGUCCUAAUGUUUUUACUUUUUAAGCGCUCAAGUUUGUCCGAAAUAUCCUGACGGGUGGGGCAGAC